AUUGAACGCUGGCGGCAGGCUUAACACAUGCAAGUCGAACGAGGGGCAGACGGGUGAGUAAUGCUUGGGAAUCUCGCUUAUAGCGGGGGAUAACUACGGGAAACUGUCGCUAAUACCGCGUACCAUAGGAUGAGCCAAAGUGGUAUUAGGUAGUUGGUGAGGUAAAGGCUCACCAAGCCGACGAUCUCUCGCUGGUCUGCGAGGAUGACCAGCCAAACUGGGACUGGGACACGGCCCAGACUCCGACGGGAGGCAGCAGUGGGGAAUAUUGCGCAAUGGGGGCAACCUGACGCAGCCAUGCCGCGUGAAUGAAGAAGGCCUUCGGGUUGUAAAGUUCUUUCGGUAGCGAGGCGUUAACUACAGAAGAAGCACCGGCUAACUCCGUGCCAGCCGCCGCGGUAAUAC
RNAcentral lists this ribosomal RNA (405 nucleotides) under uncultured bacterium. RNAcentral describes it as "partial 16S ribosomal RNA". It matches the Rfam family "Bacterial small subunit ribosomal RNA", at positions 30 to 526 of the family's 1533-position model. The record is from RNAcentral.